RNAcentral lists this ribosomal RNA (427 nucleotides) under uncultured bacterium. Its description in RNAcentral is "partial 16S ribosomal RNA". It matches the Rfam family "Bacterial small subunit ribosomal RNA", at positions 355 to 774 of the family's 1533-position model. The record is from RNAcentral.
UGGGGAUUAUUGCACAAUGGGCGCAAGCCUGAUGCAGCCAUGCCGCGUGUAUGAAGAAGGCCUUCGGGUUGUAAAGUACUUUCAGCGGGGAGGAAGGCGAUAAGGUUAAUAACCUUGUCGAUUGACGUUACCCGCAGAAGAAGCACCGGCUAACUCCGUGCCAGCAGCCGCGGUAAUACGGAGGGUGCAAGCGUUAAUCGGAAUUACUGGGCGUAAAGCGCACGCAGGCGGUCUGUCAAGUCGGAUGUGAAAUCCCCGGGCUCAACCUGGGAACUGCAUUCGAAACUGGCAGGCUAGAGUCUUGUAGAGGGGGGUAGAAUUCCAGGUGUAGCGGUGAAAUGCGUAGAGAUCUGGAGGAAUACCGGUGGCGAAGGCGGCCCCCUGGACAAAGACUGACGCUCAGGUGCGAAAGCGUGGGGAGCAAACA